UACGGGGGGAGCAAGCGUUGUUCGGAAUUACUGGGCGUAAAGGGUUCGUAGGUGGCCACUUAAGUCAGACGUGAAAUCCCUCAGCUUAACUGGGGAACUGCGUCUGAUACUGGGUGGCUUGAGUGCAGGAGAGGGAUGCGGAAUUCCAGGUGUAGCGGUGAAAUGCGUAGAUAUCAGGAGGAACACCGGUGGCGAAGGCGGGUCUCUGGGCCGAUACUGACGCUGAGGAGCGAAAGCGUGGGGAGCGAACAGG
This 253-nucleotide ribosomal RNA is filed under the name uncultured bacterium. RNAcentral describes it as "partial 16S ribosomal RNA". It matches the Rfam family "Bacterial small subunit ribosomal RNA", at positions 524 to 776 of the family's 1533-position model. The record is from RNAcentral.